Molecule: ribosomal RNA, 301 nt
Filed under: uncultured bacterium
Lineage: Bacteria
Description: partial 16S ribosomal RNA
Rfam family: Bacterial small subunit ribosomal RNA
Source: RNAcentral
CAGUAGCCGCGGUAAUACGUAGGGUGCGAGCGUUAAUCGGAAUUACUGGGCGUAAAGCGUGCGCAGGCGGUUAUAUAAGACAGAUGUGAAAUCCCCGGGCUCAACCUGGGGCCUGCAUUUGUGACUGUAUAGCUAGAGUACGGUAGAGGGGGAUGGAAUUCCGCGUGUAGCAGUGAAAUGCGUAGAUAUGCGGAGGAACACCGAUGGCGAAGGCAAUCCCCUGGACCUGUACUGACGCUCAUGCACGAAAGCGUGGGGAGCAAACAGGAUUAGAUACCCCCGUAGUCCCUGUCUCUUAUAC